AGUGUAUCAUGUGUGGUCGCUAGAAGAAAAAAAAGAAAAAAAACUUUUUUAAAAGUCGACGCGACGGAACCGAUACUGGUGCGCUCGGGGAACCUAAAGAAAGGAAAGGCCAGUCUGGAGUUGACGGUAAACGGUCAAAAUGGCCCUACAGUUGCAGGAUCUGCACCCAGGAGGUCAAAUUAUUUCGGAAAAAGGCCAAAUAAUUAUUGUUUCACGGCUUAAGCAGGCCUCCCGUAAGAAAAACAAGCAACGAAAUCGGUCGGCAGGAACCGGUCCCAGUAAUGUGUCGAAUCUUCACCGCCUCAUGCGACGUUAUUGGGUGCUGGACUUGUUUAAACCGAAACCAGGGGAUCAAAUUUUUCGGGAAGAUCCAUAGAAGCAACCGACUCCGAUUAUGUGCCAGGUCUUCUAAACCGUCUUUUACGUUGGAGCAAGAUAAGUUAGCCUGGAAGGAACCUGUAACAUGCACUGUAUAAAUAUGUCGAAGAAAAAGAAAACACACGGAAGUUGAAGAUGGUCCCGAUUCUCGAGUUUAAAAGCAUCCGCUGAAAAAAAAAUCUGAAAUUUGACCUAAGCAAGAAGA
Uranotaenia lowii is the source of this 583-nucleotide long non-coding RNA. RefSeq lists it as uncharacterized. The record is from RefSeq and is a predicted model, not a curated record. Lineage: Eukaryota; Metazoa; Arthropoda; Insecta; Diptera; Culicidae. The transcript is spliced from 3 exons.